AGCAUUUGGAAGAUGAUAAAUAUGUGAUAAAUGUUGUGCAUUGUUACAUUCAACAGUCAUACAUUAGUUUUUAAUGAUUCUGUGAAUCUUUUUUUUGUAUGUUUCUCUUUAUAACAAAUUUAUAUUACUAUUAUUCACAUGGAAAGUGCUGCUGAUGGGGUGGGCUAUGGUGUUUACUGAUCAGAUCUUGUAUGCUUAUUUGUGCUGCAAUGGCAAAACAUGCAUUAGAAAGCUUUCUUUUCCCUACUUGUGCCACUGGAGCAAGGCCUCAUAAGGUUCCACUUAAUUAUGUAGUUUUUAUUCAAUAAGUAAAACUGUUGGUUCAUAACUGUUACUUUUGAUACUUCUAAGAAUUUCUUUUUCUGGCUUUUUCAUUU
Molecule: unclassified non-coding RNA, 377 nt
Filed under: Hevea brasiliensis (rubber tree)
Lineage: Eukaryota; Viridiplantae; Streptophyta; Magnoliopsida; Malpighiales; Euphorbiaceae
Source: RNAcentral